AGUUUGAUCCUGGCUCAGGAUGAACGCUAGCUACAGGCUUAACACAUGCAAGUCGAGGGGAAACGACAUCGAAAGCUUGCUUUUGAUGGGCGUCGACCGGCGCACGGGUGAGUAACGCGUAUCCAACCUGCCCACCACUUGGGGAUAACCUUGCGAAAGUAAGACUAAUACCCAAUGACGUCUCUAGAAGACAUCUGAAAGAGAUUAAAGAUUUAUCGGUGAUGGAUGGGGAUGCGUCUGAUUAGCUUGUUGGCGGGGUAACGGCCCACCAAGGCGACGAUCAGUAGGGGUUCUGAGAGGAAGGUCCCCCACAUUGGAACUGAGACACGGUCCAAACUCCUACGGGAGGCAGCAGUGAGGAAUAUUGGUCAAUGGGCGAGAGCCUGAACCAGCCAAGUAGCGUGCAGGAUGACGGCCCUAUGGGUUGUAAACUGCUUUUAUAAGGGAAUAAAGUGAGUCUCGUGAGACUUUUUGCAUGUACCUUAUGAAUAAGGACCGGCUAAUUCCGUGCCAGCAGCCGCGGUAAUACGGAAGGUCCGGGCGUUAUCCGGAUUUAUUGGGUUUAAAGGGAGCGUAGGCCGGAGAUUAAGCGUGUUGUGAAAUGUAGACGCUCAACGUCUGCACUGCAGCGCGAACUGGUUUCCUUGAGUACGCACAAAGUGGGCGGAAUUCGUGGUGUAGCGGUGAAAUGCUUAGAUAUCACGAAGAACUCCGAUUGCGAAGGCAGCUCACUGGAGCGCAACUGACGCUGAAGCUCGAAAGUGCGGGUAUCGAACAGGAUUAGAUACCCUGGUAGUCCGCACGGUAAACGAUGGAUGCCCGCUGUUGGUCUGAAUAGGUCAGCGGCCAAGCGAAAGCAUUAAGCAUCCCACCUGGGGAGUACGCCGGCAACGGUGAAACUCAAAGGAAUUGACGGAAGG
This 920-nucleotide ribosomal RNA is filed under the name uncultured bacterium. RNAcentral describes it as "bacterial SSU rRNA". It matches the Rfam family "Bacterial small subunit ribosomal RNA", at positions 10 to 920 of the family's 1533-position model. The record is from RNAcentral.